RNAcentral lists this ribosomal RNA (342 nucleotides) under Triticum aestivum (bread wheat). RNAcentral's name for it is "partial small subunit ribosomal RNA". Lineage: Eukaryota; Viridiplantae; Streptophyta; Magnoliopsida; Poales; Poaceae. The record is from RNAcentral.
AUGUGUGUCUUUGCAUAUUAUAUUAGAAUGCCAACAAACUUGCAAACUUUCGAAUCAUACUCCCCGCAAAAAAUAUCUGAUCAUAUUAUAAUCUACAUAGAUCUUUGUGUGAUUUUCCUGAAGUCAUCAUCUAUUGUUGUGACAAAACCAUCUAUAUUUUUUGUAGGACCAUCGCGGCGUCUUCUCCCACCUUGCCGGACAGCUGUCGUCGUCUUCCUCCGCCUCGCCAGACCACCCCCACCUCAACCUCGUCUUCUUCCACCCAAGGUUGAUGAGGUUAUCCUCCUCACCAAGCAAUCUCCCUCCCUCCAUCACCCUUGUGUAUGUGUUCUUGGAUCCUGA